Long non-coding RNA from Anthonomus grandis grandis, 1341 nucleotides. RefSeq lists it as uncharacterized. NCBI's taxonomy places the organism in Eukaryota, Metazoa, Arthropoda, Insecta, Coleoptera, Curculionidae. The transcript has 3 exons. The record is from RefSeq and is a predicted model, not a curated record.
CCUCACGUAUUCACGGCGCGUUCGUCUGCUCUCACAUGAUAGCACGCCUCUGUUAUCCCGCCAAUUUACAUUUUGUAGUGGAACGUGACAUUACGUUUAGUGUUUUGACACAGGUUUUGGUGUAAAAAAAUCAUAUAAGUAUAUGAAAAAUGGACGAGAAGUUAAUUGAACUUGUAAGAAAUCAUGAAGUGCUAUACAAUCACUCAUCAGCCGAGUACAGGGACCAGACGAUUCGGCAAGAAGCUUGGGAAAAAAUUGGUAGACACUUACAAAUAACAGCGGACAACGCCAAGACAAAAUGGGAUAAACUUAGACGAUGUUUCUGUAAUGCAAGAAAUAGACACCUGUCUACACAAAGUGGUGAGGCUAACAAAAAAAUUAGGCCAUCGAAAUUUGAACCGCAGAUGACAUUUUUGCUGCCGUACUUAGAAGGUCGAAGGACACGCGGCAAUUUGCAGAAGUCUCAAAAUGAACGCGUUCAUUUGCGUUCUCGACGAAAGAGAAAUUAACGACGAUGACGUUGACGCAGACGAACAGCAAAUACAAGAACGCAGUACAGACGCUGAAGAUAUAGCUGAUGAAGGGGACCAAGAACAUAUUGCAGUAAAUACAAUUGUAAUAACAACAAACACCUUCGAAAGACGAUAUAUUGCUCGCCGAAAAUACUAAUACAUUAGAGCACAUGAAGAGAAACAAAACGUGUUCACAAAAAAAAAAUACUGCUGCCGAAAAAAUGGCGGCAAUAAUGGAACAAAAUGCUGCUCUCAGAAAAAGAAAAUUCGAAGAGAAAUUAACAGCGCAAAAUAAACAUACAUGUUUUGAAGAUAUGGACGAAACGAGAUAUAUUUUCCUAAGUUUGGCGAGAAUGACGAAACAAUUACCAAAAGCCGAACAAACUGCAGUUAAAAUAACAGUGAGCACUGCAAUCCUUCAAGCUGAAUUGAGAAGCGCACAAGCAUAAAGUGCUUCAAUACCUGCACCAUCUUCGUCAUAUGCUUUGCAACCAUUGUUUUCACCUCACGACAAUUCUAGACAGUCUACGUCAUCAUCGUCAUAUUCUGUGCAACCCUUGCCGUCACCUCAUGAAUAUUCUAGACCAUCAUCAGAAUCCUCUAACUUGCAAUCGGCUCUCCCGCCGCAGAAGUAUGAUAAAGCUGGACAUGGGCAAUUUACAAAUGUUUCACAAAUAAGCAACUACCCUACAGCAGAGACAACUCGCGAGGAAUGGAGACCGACGUUACUAGAUAUGAACUGAGUGUCUCUGGUCGACUUAGCUAAACUUUUCUAUUGUUAUUUAACGUGUGUAGCGAUACUUUUUGCAAAAUAAAAUAUUUAUUUCAA